Cervus elaphus (red deer) is the source of this 939-nucleotide long non-coding RNA. RefSeq lists it as uncharacterized. Lineage: Eukaryota; Metazoa; Chordata; Mammalia; Artiodactyla; Cervidae. The record is from RefSeq and is a predicted model, not a curated record. The transcript has 4 exons.
GGUCUGUUCUUCUCGAACCGGCAGGCGGCUCCGCCGGCGCUUCUAAUCACCGGCCGCGGCUCGGGCAGCUCGCCGCGCCCCGCAACCAGUCCCGGGGACCUUGGUCAGCUCGCGGACACUGACGGCUCUCGGACAGGCGUGCGGGCCCGCCCGCCGGCUCCCGGGGCAGCUCCUGCCGCGGCCGCGGUCCCCGGCUGCCUCCUGCCGUAGUGAGCGCCCGGCGGACGCCGCAUCCGUCCCGGCGCCGCGACCAGGGAGGCGCGCGGAGAGCCCGUUGCCACCCCGCGCGCCCAGCCCAUCUGCUCCCUUCACCCGCCUUCUUCCCCCGCCUCCGCUCUGGGAGGGGGAGCCCCGUGCGACCUCAGGCCUCCCCUCGGGGUCUGCGCCCCAUCCUGCCGUCACACACACAGAUCGGCUCCCGGGAGGAGCAGGGAGCGGCCGCAGCGGCGAGUCGAAGCCCAAAGAGCAGUGUACCUGAUGCCUGCAGAAAAGGAGGUGCUGAAAUGAACAGAACUGCUGGCGUGAGCUGGGACUUGCUCUUGUGUGGUUUACACCGCUGUGGUCUACAGUGCUGUGGACACUUGGCUGGAAUUUGUGGAGGGUCCCUAUGAAAAAAAGGAGCGCUUUGGCCCUUCCCUGUGGUUAGCAGAUGGUGUGUCCAGACUGUUCACAUCUGCUCCGUGCCUGUUUGUUCUCGAUCACUGAUGCUGCUGUUCUGUGGCUAGGUUUCUCGAGGAAGAAUCCCAGCUCAGCCAUCACAUCCUCAAGGAAGCCUGCUUGAUCUCUCCACCUGUCCAACUCACCAGGACAAGUUCCUUUGGGAUAAGCUCUCAUCAGACAGCGUUCCCAUGCUUCUUGAGACGAUCUCAUCUUAUAAGCUUUCCCCACAUUUGUAUAACUAAUGUCUGACUCUGUCAUUGUAUUACAAUACAAGCUCCA